Molecule: non-coding RNA, 73 nt
Organism: Stegodyphus mimosarum
Lineage: Eukaryota; Metazoa; Arthropoda; Arachnida; Araneae; Eresidae
Source: Rfam
GCCUUCGUGGUGUAGUGGUCAGCCCGCUAGGCGCCUAUUCUAGAGGUCCGUGGUUCGAGUCCCGGCGAAGGCG